CCUACGGGCGGCAGCAGUAAGGAAUAUUGCGCAAUGGGGGCAACCCUGACGCAGCAACGCCGCGUGGGCGACGAAGGCCUUCGGGUUGUAAAGCCCUUUUCGGAGGGACGAGUAAGGACGGUACCUCCGGAACAAGUCUCGGCUAACUACGUGCCAGCAGCCGCGGUAAAACGUAGGAGGCAAGCGUUAUCCGGAUUCACUGGGCGUAAAGCGCGCGCAGGUGGCCUGUCAAGUCGGACGUGAAAUCUCCCGGCGCAACUGGGAGGGGCCGUUCGAUACUGGCGGGCUUGAGGGCAGAAGGGGAAGGCGGAAUUCCCGGUGUAGUGGUGGAAUGCGUAGAUAUCGGGAGGACCACCAGUGGCGAAGGCGGCUCUCGGAAUUGCGACUGACGCU
This 393-nucleotide ribosomal RNA is filed under the name uncultured bacterium. RNAcentral describes it as "partial 16S ribosomal RNA". It matches the Rfam family "Bacterial small subunit ribosomal RNA", at positions 338 to 747 of the family's 1533-position model. The record is from RNAcentral.